This is a long non-coding RNA of Gorilla gorilla gorilla (western lowland gorilla), 2655 nucleotides long. RefSeq lists it as uncharacterized. The record is from RefSeq and is a predicted model, not a curated record. The transcript has 7 exons. NCBI's taxonomy places the organism in Eukaryota, Metazoa, Chordata, Mammalia, Primates, Hominidae.
GUUUUUUUUACGUUUCCGUGUCUUCUUGUUGAGCAUUGCGGCGCAGCUCGCCUCGCUGCGGUUGGUGGUGGCGCUGGAGGUUGCAGCGCGGCUGGAGGGGUACAGAGGAUGAAAAUAGUUUUGGGAUAGAUAGAGGUUGUUUGAGGGACGUUCAUCGAGGAAACCAGAGAAACAUGAAACGCUCUUCUGCUUCUUUAGAACAGUCACAGAGAAAAGUAAACUCCUUUCAUUCUUACCAACCUGCUGGGUUGGUGACAUUUACAAGAGAGUCUUGAAGAUUUUCCAGAACGGGAAAGGAAGCCAUCAUUCUUUAGAGGGCAAUGACCAAGCAGUACCAGCAGAAAUUGAAGUACCAGCAGAAGGCUAAGAAGGGAUCAUGGCACAAGUUGCAGUUUCCACCCUGCCCAUUGAAGAUGAGGAGUCCAUGGAAGAUGAGGAGUCUGUUGAAGACGAGGAGUCCGUUGAAGAUGAGUCCGCAGAGAGCAGGAUGCUGGUGACGUUGCUCAUAUCAGCUCUUGAGUCCAUGGAUCAUGGCACAAGUUGCAGUUUCCACCCUGCCCAUUGAAGAUGAGGAGUCUGUUGAAGAUGAGUCCUUGGAGAGCAGGAUGGUGGUGACAUUCCUAAUGUCAGCUCUCGAGUCCACGAGUCUCUGUUUCACCCAAUCUGGAGUGCAAUGAUGCAGUCGUACCUAACUGCAGCCUCAACCACCUGGGCUCAAGCAAUUCUCCCGCCUCAGCCUUCCAAUCAUCUGGGACUACAGGUGCACAGCAUCCAUGCCCAGCUAAUUUUUGUAUUUUUUUGUAGAGAUGGGAUCUUGUUAUGUUGCCGAGGCUGGUCUUGAACUCUGGGGCUAAAGCGAUCCUUUCACCACAGCCUCUCAAGUAGCUGAAACUACAGAUGCAUACCACCAUGCCCAGCUAAUUUUUUCUUACUUCUUUUUGUUGUUUAAUUGAGGGGGUCUCACUGUGUUUCGCAGGCUAGUUCUGAACUUCUGGCCUCAAGCGUUUCUCCUGCUUUGACCUCCUAAACUGUUGGGAUUAUGGUUGUGAGCCCCGGCCUCUGUGUCCAGCAAUCACAAGAGGUCUUUAUAAGUGAAAGAGGGAGGUAAGAGAGUCAGAAUUGAAGGAGAUUUGAUGAUGCAAGCACAGGUCACAGAGGGAGAUUCGAAUAUGCUUUGCUUCUGGCUUUGAAGAUGCAGUUAGGGGCCAUGAGCCAAAGAAUAGGGGUGGCUUUAGCAACUGGAAAAGGCAAGGGAACACAUUCUCUCUGGAACCUCCAGAAGGGAUGCAGUCCUGCUAACGCCUUGACUUUAGCCUUAAUAGACCUAUUUUGGACUUCUGGCCCCCAGACCUGUUCGGUAGUAGAUUUGUGGUGUAUUAAGCCACUCAAUGUAGGGUAGUUUGUAACAGCAGCAAGAAGAAAUGAACAUGAAGCCAGGGGUAGUGGCCCACACCUAUAAUUCCAGCUAUUUAGGAGGCUGAGGCAGGAUGGUUGCUUUGGCCCAGGAGUUCAAGAUAAACCUGGGCAACAAAGUGAUACCCUGUCUACAUGGAAAAAAAAAAUUAGCGGGUGUGGUGGCAUCCACUUGUAGUCUUAGCUACUAGAGGCGCUGAGGCAGGACGAUUUCUUGACCUAGGAGUUCCAGGUCUCAGUGUGUUGUGAUCGUGCCAUGGUGCCAUGGUGCUUCAGCCUGAGUGACACAGCGAGAUUAUAUCUUUAAAAAAAAAAAAGAAAGUAAAAAGAAAUGAGUGAGCAUGGCAGGAAUGGGGACACAUAGCAAUAUUAAACAGAGUGGUCAGGAUUGGCCUCCUAAGUGAAAAUUGAGCAAAGACUUGAAGGAGGGGAAGGAGCUGGCCAAGGUACUGAGGGAAGAGAAUUGUAGGCAGAAACAACAGAAUAAAGAUGCUAAGAGGGAACUCCGUGGUGUGUCUGAAGCUCGGGAAAGAGGCCUGUGGAGCAGAGAGAGGGAGAGAAGGUAGGGGAGGAGGCCAGGGAGUUGUGGGGCUCAGAUCAGUACAGAUUGUGUAAGCCCUGGGAGGCUACUGCUGGGGCUUUGGCUUUUAUUCUGUCUGAGAUGGGAGAUGCGGAAGGGUUCUGAGCAGAGAGGUGACACGAACUGUCUACUGAUUUAAAAGCAUCCCAUGGUGGCUGAGUUGAGAAAGAUUGUGGGAAGAUUUGUGUAGAAGCACGGAGGCCAAGCUGUGGCAACAUCCAGGUAGGAGAUGAUAGUGGUUCUGACCAGGGUCCUGGCAAUGGUGAGAGAUGGUUGAUUCUUGUUGAGAUUACUAGGUAAUUAAAAAAAACAAAACACUACUGCUUUUCCUGAUUAUAUGAAGUAUGGGAUGCUAGAUUAAAGACAUCUUAAGUCGGGCCAGGUGCAGUGGCUUAUGCCUGUGGCGUCAGCACUUUGGGAGCACUUUGGGAGGCACAGAUGGCACAGAUGGGAGAAUUGUUCGAGUCCAGGAGUCUGAGACCACCCUGGGCAACAUAGCAAGACCUCCUGUCUAUGCAAAUAAAAAUUAAUAAAAUAUAAUUAUCAUGGGAUAGUGGUAUUUUCCUGUAAAACCAGUUACUCUGGUUGUCGAGGUGGGCAGAUCUUUUGAGGGUGGGAGUUUGAGGCCAGCUUGGGCAACAUAGCAAGGCUCCUCUUUCUAC